UCAUUCUCCAAGUCUGAGUUAUUUGGUCAAAAAAACCUCCAAAUGCUUCAGACAACUCUCGCAAACUUGUCAUAGCUUUUGGUAUUCCAGGCCACAGAAGAGCCCAGGCAGAAUCAGUGUUACAUUUGUGGUCAGAUGAGCUAACGACAUCCUUCCUGACUUCUUUCUCAGAAUUAGGAAACCCUGAUUAGCAUUUAGAACCUCAUUUUCACAGACUUCACUCAUUAAAACAUCAAGACCUAGGUAACGCACCACUGAAAUUUCAUAAUAUGGAGGAUAUGUUUAAAUAUGUUUAAAAUAUGUAUUUUUAACUGUGGUUAAAAUAUGUUUUUAAAAUGUUUAUGAGUCAAAAUAAUUAAAAUUGCCAUUUAACGUAA
Homo sapiens (human) is the source of this 377-nucleotide long non-coding RNA. Ensembl annotates it as SLC16A1 antisense RNA 1. Its record names the gene SLC16A1-AS1. The record is from Ensembl. NCBI's taxonomy places the organism in Eukaryota, Metazoa, Chordata, Mammalia, Primates, Hominidae.